This 65-nucleotide transfer RNA is filed under the name Delias pasithoe. RNAcentral's name for it is "tRNA-Glu". RNAcentral also lists the same sequence under 1 other name. Lineage: Eukaryota; Metazoa; Arthropoda; Insecta; Lepidoptera; Pieridae. The record is from RNAcentral.
AUUUAUAUAGUUUAAGCAAAACUUUACAUUUUCAAUGUAAAAAUAAAAUUUAUUUUUUAUAAAUU